This 497-nucleotide ribosomal RNA is filed under the name uncultured bacterium. RNAcentral describes it as "partial 16S ribosomal RNA". It matches the Rfam family "Bacterial small subunit ribosomal RNA", at positions 28 to 507 of the family's 1533-position model. The record is from RNAcentral.
GAUGAACGCUGGCGGCGUGCCUAAUACAUGCAAGUCGAGCGAACAGACGAGGAGCUUGCUCCUCUGACGUUAGCGGCGGACGGGUGAGUCACACGUGGAUAACCUACCUAUAAGACUGGGAUAACUUCGGGAAACCGGAGCUAAUACCGGAUAAUAUAUUGAACCGCAUGGUUCAAUAGUGAAAGACGGUUUUUGUGUCACUUAUAGAUGGAUCCGCGCCGCAUUAGCUAGUUGGUAAGGUAACGGCUUACCAAGGCAACGAUGCGUAGCCGACCUGAGAGGGUGAUCGGCCACACUGGAAGUGAGACACGGUCCAGACUCCUACGGGAGGCAGCAGUAGGGAAUCUUCCGCAAUGGGCGAAAGCCUGACGGAGCAACGCCGCGUGAGUGAUGAAGGUCUUCGGAUCGUAAAACUCUGUUAUUAGGGAAGAACAAAUGUGUAAGUAACUAUGCACGUCUUGACGGUACCUAAUCAGAAAGCCACGGCUAACUACGUG